UUUUAUUGACCAUAAGAGCCAAAGAAAUGGCCUAUGAUGGUUUAGGUUGUGAAUUUAAAAUUCCCAUAAUGAAAUAGGGUGAAACAUAGCAGGAGUCGUAAUUGCAAAUGUUGUUAUGCGGCCGCUAUUACAUUGUGUAAUGACUGUUUUCUAUAGCCAUGGUUUGCAAGUAUAUCAUGAACAGAAAUAUGCUUAUUAUUCGAGUUUAUGUGCAUGGUUGUAAUUAUUUAAUUACCAUAGAGAAGGUUCUCAGAGAUAAGCAAUGAAAACAAUGGUUUAUACAGCGGUUUGGAGUUGUUUUAGUGGUUUUGUCAAAAUCUAUAAUUGGAAGAAUAUCAGCUGGCUCAAAUUGCUGACUUGGUGAAUGUGUUUUGAGCCGUAGAUGUUUUUGGUUAAAACUUAUGAAUGACCAAAUGCAAUUCUGAGAUUCUUCGCAUGGUGAAAUAGUUUGGAUAUUUUCUGCCCGCGCAGAGGUUCCUAAUGAUCCUGAGACAUAAGUAUCUUGCAUUUUCUAAGGCUAAUAAUGUGAUCUUCCCUAUUACAUGAUUUGAUAGUAUGAUUUUAUGUUUUCUUUCCCCUAAAAAGAGAUGCAUUUUAAUUAUUCAAUUAU
Molecule: unclassified non-coding RNA, 610 nt
Filed under: Hevea brasiliensis (rubber tree)
Lineage: Eukaryota; Viridiplantae; Streptophyta; Magnoliopsida; Malpighiales; Euphorbiaceae
Source: RNAcentral